AUUUGCCAUCUGUUUCUCCUUCUCAGUUAAUUUGACUAUUAGAGUGGCUAUAGCAGAUGUUAAGCCUCUGAAAAGAGCAAUCUGAGGGGGUGGAGAGCUUUUUGUGGGGGAACCUGAGAACUCUUACCUGUGUGGUGUGGCUCUGGGAAGGCAACAAGGCCAAAUGGGGCUUUGUAAAACUCAGACCUCACUUAACUGCAAAAAUGAGGCUCACUGGUUGUGCAUGAUUUUGGGCUGCUGUACUUAGAGGUAAUUCUGCUUUUUUGCUUAAAAGAUAAACAAGCAAACAUGGCUAAAGUUCAUUUUUCCUUUAGCUGCCCAUCUUUUCCUUUCUGUUUUGGGGGAGCUGGAGUGGCCUCAGCACUUCCCUUGGUCUCUGUGGGCUUGUCAGGUGCCUGUAUCCCUGGAAUGGGAUCUGGACUUGAUCUGUUGCAAAUACAAAUGUUUGUUACUGAAGCAAACAGGUCAUGUUAUGUUAUUCUUGUACCUUAAAUAAAUCAAGAAAGGUGCAAAUGUGCUAGUUGUGAACUUAUUUCUCCCCUGGGCUGCUUCCAUGAGAUGUUUCUUUCUCUUCUUAUCUUCCCCACCCUGCUCCCACUUUUGCUGCUUUGAAUGGCAUCAGCUUAUUGAAGGAUUUUCUGAAAAUAGCAGUAUUGAAAAGGCAUGUUCUCUGUUUGCUCAUCUGGAAUAUUCUAGGAGGAAUUAACUCCUUUAAUUCCUCACUCCAUAAAUUUGAGGUUCCCUUUCUAGUUUUAUCUUGGAGAUAUGUUAAGGCAAUAACAAGUAUAAGUAAAAGAAGCUGCAGGGUUUGGUUUUCUAUUUUUCAGGAAUGCAGUGUGUGGAUCCAGCAAUAUGCAGGCAGUGCAGAGCUCGAGCCUGGGGCUGGUGGCCAUUCGCAUAUGGGACGUCUCGAUUUGGUGUCAGGGGACCUGCAGCUGACUGAUGCUCUUAAGGUCUGUUCAACUCUGUGCUUUGUGCUCCAACUGGGAGAGCAAAGGAGUGGGAGAAUGUUCCUGGUCCGUCUCUUCCGAAGGAGUGUUUACAACAGCCUAAGGAAGAACUAUGGAAAGUGAAAACAAAUGAAAUGGGAAGGGGAAAAAUGCCUUUUCUUUGCUAUUUCUACGCUAAUAGUGAAACACUAAUUUAAACCAGGACCCUUUUUGGAAAUGAGUCAGAAGUGAGCUAUGGCCAGCUACUUUUAAACAGUAUUUCUGCUUCUAUGUUGCAAGGAGAUUUUACAGCUCCUGCCCCUAAGCCAGAUCAUUAAGCACUUACACUUCUUUAGAUCUAAGCCAACGAGAUGAUUUUCUGGUGACCAAACUUUUCUCUAAUGCUCGUGCCUUUAUGAAUCUUCUCAAGAUCUCAAGGAAGCUUCCUUUUUUAAGAAGUCUAGUCCCUCAGCGAUCUCGGGCUGGAUUUGCACAUUUAACUCCCAUCAAAUGCUAAUAGGAAUUCGUUGGUCAAAUCCUCUCCCCUGUCCCUCUUCAUGCCUCACUGGGAGAAAAGAGCCAUUAGUGUGCUUAAAAGUAAAUUUCAAGGUUUCCUUUUUUGUGUGUUCCAAUGGCCAAGGUUUAUUCCUCUCGUCCUUUUUAUUUUAUUGUGAGGCACCUUGAGUUAUUUGCAUGAUAAGACACCCUGUAAAUGGAUUAUAUUGUAAUUCAUUGUGUAGGUUUAAUGCUGACAACAGCUCGGUUUGGAAGUAAGAUAGCAACUUAGAUUUUUAGUUUCUGAUGUGCCAUGCAGAGAAAUGCCUUUUGAGAAAGCGGGAGGCAAAGCAGGAGGGAUGAGGAGGAGGCAGCCGGAGUUAAAUUGUAUGAAUAAGGCAAGGGAAAGCUGGCAUUAAAGAGAAGCUGAAUACAUUAACUUCUCAGCCUCUGCACUGCGGAGAAUCAAUGGCACGAACUGGAGUGUCCCUUUCCUCUCUGCCUUAACAGUUAAUGUAGUUUUUCCUCUCCUUUUUCCAAGGAUAGCAAAGGAAUGGCAAUGCUUUCUGCUAACAAUCAUUCAUAUGUGAUGAGUGUACCUUUGCAGUCGCUGUGCCCGGAAUGUUAUGUUGUUAUAUACUGCCUACUUAUAAACUGGAACUGGUCCCUUAGAGAAGCCCUAUAUUUCAUAAGAAGUGUUGGAAUGAACAAAAAAUCUGUUUUCUUCUUUUGGGGAGGGGGGAACUGGACUGUGUAAUAAGUGCUGGUGUAGGAAGUUCGGUAGCCUAGUGUAAAACAUGGAAAACAUACACUACCCAGGAACAGCAUGCUUAAAUCCUGGCAGGAACAGCUUGGUUUUCCUUUCCAAGGUAAACCAGCAGUCUUCAUUGAGUGGGUAUUUUAGAUAAUACCAUAAAAAUAUAAAUGUAGUGUGGACACUAAAGUGCUCAUCAUCUGAAUUCUUGCACGUAGAUGCAUUUAGUUUUACAUACUUGACAUAUUCUUUGAAAGUGGCAGAUGUACGCUUUGUGCUCUAUCUCUUUUGGAGUGGUUGCACUGAUCUGUCCUUACUUUUUGCAUAUGUUCCAAAGCUUGAGUAAAAUGAUUAUAGAUGAAAGAUCUGUUCGCUUGCAUCUUGUCUUAAUUCUGCAUGGUACCCAGCACCCCUGUGCUGACCUGAAGUCUUGAACCUUGAUUGAUCUACUGACUUUAAACUUCAGCUUGAUGUGUAUUGGUAAAUAAUUUAACAAACUUCUUUACCUCCAGUGGCUGAAUGGUGGAAACUGAAAUGCAAAAUCUCUACCUUCCUUAAAUUGAGAUGAAAUGCUGUUUGGGAUCACUCUUAAGUUUUUUCUUUUUUUUUUCUUUUUUUUAAACUCAAAGUAGUCAUGAAUAGCAUGUUUUAAAAGCACUUUGAUCAUUGCUCUCGUUAUUUAAAAAAAAAAAGGGGGGGGAGGUGGAGUAUCUUCUCAAAAAUGGAGGUAGAAGCCUUUGAAAUCAUAAAGUGUAAGCAAACUUAGCCAGCAUACUGUGACCUGUCAGGAAGAGACUGAUCCUAUUAAAGCUCCACUGCAUGCAGCCAAAAUACUUUAAAGAGAACUCUAUAGAUUUCUGUGUUUACUGACGUCAGCGUGGCACAAGGGUGCGAUUGGCUGCUCUGUGUUUUUAAUAGAAAAAAGAACUGCCCAGAAAAGCCACCAAAGCAUUCCCGAUUUAUGCCGCUAUAUCGAUGACGAUGCAGUUUCUGGGACAUAUUGUCACUUGGUUCAGCCCCCUGAAUCUGCAACGGUUCAGACAAAGGGAGUUUUUGAUUUACCAGUCCAUUCUUCAUGUUAAUAUACACAGAGCUCCUUGUCUUUGCAAUUUGAAUCAGCUCCACAGUUCUGCGUAAAGAAAUUGGGCACUAGCUGUCCUUUAUAGAUGAGUGAUGUGUAAAUCUGGGUUAAUUCUAGCAAACUGAGGGAAGUAACUUAAGGAUACGUAUUGCUUGAGUGCACGGCCUUAAUGCUGUUGCUUUAUUACAUUGAUAAAGAGAGCUGGCUGUAUAGUGGUAUAGCCAGCACCAGACUCGGGGCAAGAAGCUUUUAAUAUUAGUUUAAAUUAAAACAACUGGUGGCUUUGAAUAGAGGAAGAGGUUCUUUGUAAAGUACAAACAAAUUCUUCAGCUCUCUCUGUGAAGACGUCACUAACAACUCAUUUAAGCACUUCUAAUAAAAAGAGCAUUUGUGUUCUAACA
Molecule: long non-coding RNA, 3660 nt
Filed under: Numida meleagris (helmeted guineafowl)
Lineage: Eukaryota; Metazoa; Chordata; Aves; Galliformes; Numididae
Description: lncRNA (ENSNMEG00000023111.1)
Source: RNAcentral